Molecule: non-coding RNA, 69 nt
Organism: Podarcis lilfordi (Lilford's wall lizard)
Lineage: Eukaryota; Metazoa; Chordata; Lepidosauria; Squamata; Lacertidae
Source: the annotation of a GenBank genome assembly
GCUGUAGCUCAAUGGUAGAGCCCCAGACUUUCAUGAAGGAGGUUCUGGGUUCAAUCCCCAGCAUCUCCA